CCCAAAUCUGAUAAGACUGGCGAUUGAUCCUAACUGCCCAAAGUUGAUUCUGACAGACAAUUGCAUCGUCACAAUAUUAAAGGUUCAAUAUACAGUCAGCCUCUCAUAAGAAAAAAAACCAAAGAUCCAAGGCUUGCUUGCUUCAAAGUUAAGAGACCUUUCUGUGCCACAAAGAAAUUGUUCAGGAAGGGAAGAACUGGUGGAUUUGCAUUUUUGGUACACUUCAAAGAGAUUUUCAAAAUGGUCAGAUCAGAGGGAGGACAACUGAAAAUAUUGAAAAGAAACAGAAGAAAAAAGAACCUGGAAAUCUAUGGAAUAAUUAUGAAACGUGGAGGAUGUACAAAAUCUUGUCUGAAUUUGACCUGUAAAGAUUUCUCAUUCUUAUUUAUAUGCUAGAAUAUCAGAUAACUUGAUUUUUCAUAAAUUUACAAUAGAGAAUACAGGACAAAUGUUAUUGCUGAUAUUUCAAUUUUGCUGUGGACAAUUUCAUGUCAUAUGGUAUUUUUAUACAAGUACAUGACCUAAUUAUUUUAUUAAUUUAUACAUGUUUAACGACUUAAUCAUUUUGCUGAAAUCUUGAAAUUUGUACUCAUUUUAGAAUAUGUUAAAUACAUGUAUCGACA
Molecule: long non-coding RNA, 623 nt
Organism: Saccostrea cuccullata (small rock oyster)
Lineage: Eukaryota; Metazoa; Mollusca; Bivalvia; Ostreida; Ostreidae
Exons: 3
Source: RefSeq, a predicted model, not a curated record